UGCUAUUUUUUUCAAGCGAUUCUGGCAUCUGUUGGAGGAUGAUCUAGUGGAGGAGGUACUGGGAGCAAUCCAACGCGCCGAAGUACCGGUGGGGUGGAACGAUGCAACCAUUGUUAUGAUCCCUAAAGUUGAUAACCCCGACAAAGUGACACAAUUCCGACCCAUAUCUUUAUGCAAUGUGGUGUAUAAAGUGAUAUCCAAGAUGUUAUCUUUCAGAUUGAAACAAAUUUUACCUGAGAUUAUUAGUGACCAUCAGAGUGCUUUUGUCCCGGGGAGAUUAAUAACGGACAAUAUACUUUUAGCAUAUGAAUGUAUACACACAAUGAAAAGGAAGAAGGGAAGAAAGGGGUUAUGUGCAGUAAAGUUGGACAUGCAUAAAGCCUAUGAUAGAGUUGAGUGGGGGUUUUUGGAAAAGAUCAUGACUAAAUUCGGUUUUGAUCAACGUUGGAUUAAACUCAUUAUGGCUUGUGUUUCUUCGGUCAGAUACAACGUCCGUUUUAACAAUGCUGAGACGGAUGUUUUUAUACCUUCUAGGGGGUUGCGCCAAUGAGAUCCUUUAUCUCCAUAUUUGUUUCUGAUGGUUGCUGAAGGUUUGUCUUGUAUGAUAAGGAAGGCAGAAGAAAGAGGAGAGUUGGAUGGGGUGAGAGUUUGUAGAGGAUCACCAACAAUUUCCCAUCUCCUUUUUGCAGAUGACUCACUCAUCUUAAUGCAAGCUGAUAAAAAGAAUGCUGAUUGCUUGGCAAGCUUACUGGACAGAUAUUGUGCAAAUUCAGGACAGAAACUAAGUGAGGCCAAAUCGAGCAUUUAUUUUUCUCGUAAUACAAGAGGUGGAUGUUAAAACGGAAGUAUGCCAAAUCCUGAAUAUUAUGACAGAAGCUCUCAGUGACAAAUAUCUCGGUCUUCCGGCUCUGGUGGGUACUGACCGUAGUGAUUGUUUUCGUCACUUGAUUGACAGGGUUGUGUCUCGUAUAGAUGGAUAGAAGGAGAAAAUUCUAAGCAUGGGAGGGAAGGAGAUUCUUAUUAAAUCUAUAGCUCAGGCCGUCCCAGUAUAUGCUAUGAUGGUGUUUAAAAUUCCAAACAAAAUUUGCAAAGGAAUCACAGAUGCCAUCUCGCAGUACUGGUGGGGGGAUGAUGCAGAUCAUAGGAGAAUCCAUUGGCAAGAAUGGUGGAAGAUGUGUAUGCCGAAGGGCAAGGGAGGCAUGGGAUUCAGGGAUCUACAGUCUUUCAAUUUGGCAUUGUUAGCAAAGCAGGUAUGGAGAUUGCUAAGUGAUCCUGACUCUCUAUGUGCUAGAGUGCUUCGAGCUCGGUACUACCGGGAUGGUAAAUUACUGAAUGCCAGAAUGAAGAGUGGGAGUUCCUAUACCUGGCAGAGUAUACUAGCUGGUUUGCAAUGUUUCAAGCAAGGUUAUAUCUGGCGGGUUGGGGACGGUACACAGAUCAAAAUCUGGGAAGACAACUGGAUUCCAGGUAGCCAUAAUAUGAAAAUCCAAACAAAUAGGGGGAAUAAUUUGGUGGCUACCGUGGAUGAGCUGAUAGAUCCCAUAAAUUUCACAUGGGGUGGAGACCUGCUGAAAACUAUUUUUUGGCCGAUUGAUGUUUGUCGAAUUAUGCAAAUUCCUAUCCGGGCUGGAAGGGAUGAUUUGGUGGCCUGGCAGUAUAAUAGAAGUGGUACCUUUUCAGUAAAGUCGGCAUAUCACUGUCAGUGGGAUUAUAAGUUUGGGGAGAGAAGCGCACAAAUGCAGGCUAGUACUGCAUCGAGGAGUCGGUUAUGGAAGAGGUUGUGGAAUUUAAAGGUUCCAGCAAAAAUCAAGAUUUUUGGUUGGCGGGCACUCAAAGGUUUAGUGCCGUGCCGGGCGAUUCUUGCAAAUCGACAUGUGGGUGAUUCGGGAGGUUGCCCAGUCUGUCAGAACGGACCCGAGGAUAUAAAACACAUGAUUUUUACAUGUGCUCGAGCGAAGCAAGUGUGGAAUUCGCUGGGAGUUGAAGAUAGGAUACAACGUCUAUGUAUGACGGAAAGAUCGGGUUCUGUAAUUCUUGAGGAAAUAUUAAUCAGGGAGGAUCAAGUUCAGGAUCUUCAGGUGGGAUUUGCAGAGCUUGUCAUCACAGCUGCCUGGUAUAUAUGGUGGGAGCGACGACAAUUGGUCCAUGGCGAGGCUGUUCAACGUCCGGCAAGGUCUGGCAUGGCAAUUGCGGCUCUCACCAAGAACUAUAAACUGGCAACAAAGAAAGAUUCAGUCUUAAGACAAGGAUGGAAGAAGCCACCGGAGGGUAAAGUGAUGGUGAAUGUUGAUGCCGGAUUCGAUGAGAUGGGUGGAUGUGGUACUGUUGGCUCUGUCAUCAGAGAUUGUUCAGGUGGAGUUCUAGCAGCUGCUCAUAGUUUUGUACCGCAUCUGGUGGAUGCUCCGAUGGCGGAGGCCUUUGCGCUGAAAGAAGGACUGAUGCUAGCUCAGCAGAUAGGAUGCAAUCGGUUGAUUAUCCAAUCGGACUGUAUGGAGGUAGUACAAAUUAUGACGGAUGGUGGCUUCACAGCGAAUUCGGCAGCUGCAAUUUAUGAAGAUUGCAACAUCCUAUGGAGUGGUUUUGCUGAUAUAACGAUAGAACAUUGUAGCAGGGAGGCGAAUCAGGUGGCUCACAACCUAGCUAGAAGAGCUCGAGAGUAUGAGACAAAUUGUACUUGGGUCGAUGAGCCCCCUAGAUUUAUUUUAGACUCGUUGAUGAACGAUGUAACUAUCUUGAAUGAAUAAAGUUUAGCCGGUUUGUUUCAAAAAAAAAAGUAUUUGCAAAAAAGAAAAACAAAACAGUUUUUUACAACAACCUCACCCCUCUGCAUUCAUUCAUCCGGAGAAGAUAUGUACAGUUCUUGAAUGCACAGUAUGUGAAGAGUAUGGGACCAUCAACUAGUGUUCUAGUGUUCUUCACUUCACUGAUUGAAGCACUAGCCUACUCCAGUUGUUAAUGGCUGUAGACUAUAGAUAGAUCUUAAAUGUAUUUUUUUUCAGUGUACUGAUCACAUUCUUGUUUCUUCUCAAACUUAUAAGCAUAACCCAUCUGGUUGGUUGGAGAAGAAAAUGUACUGUAGCACAACCACAGGGUCUGGUGGUUGGCGCUCUGUCUGUCACGCUCACGCAGGCAGCAACUACUCUUUUGCGACUCUGACUGUCAAAAUGUCCAAAAUGGCAGGCAGCCUUGUCUGUCCUCUUCAUUUGGAAGGAGGUGUAACCCUGUUGCCUUCCUAAUUAACUGGAAGAUAUACCACCCGCCAAGUCUGACCUGACCGUCUCAAGCCAACCCACGAAGUUCCAAAUUUUUGGGAGAGCCAUUGCUUUACUUGCUUGUUUGUUAUCAUCACUGACCAAACAGAAAACAGUUACAAGAACACAUCUUUGAGUUUUGGGCGGAUCCAAUACAAAUAAUUGAAACAGAAAGCUUUAAGCUGCUGGUGUUCCCUAAUCCCUACCAAGCCUUUACUUGUCUCCUUUCUGGUGGAGGAGAGGGCUCAGAGGGGCCUUUACGAAUUGCAAAUUUGCAAUGCUUCUUGCUUGUGAUUGUGACGACGAUGCACAAACCGCAGACACAAUUAAUGGCGACGCCCCGAUGCUCAGCAGCUACCGCGCACCGCCGCUCGCCGACCACCUCCUCGACAAGCCGCACUGGCUCAGCCAGCUCAAACCAUGGCGCCGCCAUGCCCACGGCGACGACCACCUCUCCGCCGGAAUCGCCAUCAACUGGAGCUCUGUGCGUU
Non-coding RNA from Oryza sativa Japonica Group (Japanese rice), 3742 nucleotides. NCBI's taxonomy places the organism in Eukaryota, Viridiplantae, Streptophyta, Magnoliopsida, Poales, Poaceae. The record is from RefSeq and is a predicted model, not a curated record.